This 548-nucleotide long non-coding RNA is filed under the name Durio zibethinus. RNAcentral's name for it is "long non-coding RNA (DZIB_LNC001627)". Lineage: Eukaryota; Viridiplantae; Streptophyta; Magnoliopsida; Malvales; Malvaceae. The record is from RNAcentral.
CAUCACAAGGUUGGGUGAGGGAGAAUGUCACAGAUCUAAGGAAGAGUCUUGAAUCUCACAUCCUACAAAACUGAAAAAAUGAAAUUCAUUUAUUUGAUUUGAUUAAUAGAUGUACCUUAGCAAUUCGACAUGGAUCCAAUAUAUUUUAUCAAAACAUGUGAUGAAGAGAUUUGCUUUGUCCACCGAACCCAAUUUUUAGAAAAAAAAAAAACACACAUAAUUUUCGAUAACUUCUUGCUCCCUCUUCCCAAAAUUCCAGAUUUACUUUUUGUUAAUUUCCUGGCUUAGUGUGAGAUAGAAAUACGCCUGUCUCGUCUUAAUCUUAAUAAUGAGUGAAUCAAUGAAUGAAAGUGGAAGAAAUGAAGAAUGAAAGUGGAAGAAAUGAAGUUUAACUCCCCUUUUUAUGUUUAUGUCAGACCAAUCACUUCCCGAAAGGAUCAAAGCCAGCUCUAAACCAUUCAAUCCAUGCCAACGCAUCGAGGGAGGUAGGCAGGGUGGUCAACCUCCGUGACGAAGGCAUCACAAGGUUGGGUGGGAGAGAAUGUCAC